Molecule: long non-coding RNA, 1847 nt
Organism: Malania oleifera
Lineage: Eukaryota; Viridiplantae; Streptophyta; Magnoliopsida; Santalales; Ximeniaceae
Exons: 3
Source: RefSeq, a predicted model, not a curated record
AUUCUGGAAAUAAAAGUUCCACCCCAAAUUCUCAAAUAAUUUUAAUUAAAAUAAAUUUAAAUUCUCCCCGACUUCCCCCGACACUUUUCUCUAUCUCUCUGCACUUUCUCCCAUCCCUUUCUCCUCUCUUUUCAGCUUCUUUAUGUGGGGUCGAGCUUAUGGAAAUCUGGUUGGAGGCGGUGCAUUUCAGGCGUAAAAAUAAAAAAAUAAAAAAAAAAUUAGGGCUUUUCUUUGCUGUUUUGAGCCCUAUUGCGCUACAGAAGUCGAUCAAAUUGAGAGAUUCGUCAACUGAUUUGUAGGGUUUUAGGACUUGAAACUGGUGGAGCUUUGUUUAAAGAACAUCCGGCGGUGGUUUCUUCAGUUGAGUGGAAUCUGGGUGAUGCAAUUUUCCAGUUUGGGUUCGUUUUCGGGUUGGAGAAUUGGAGUGCGCGACUUCACUUCGCUAUUCUGCUUUAAUUUUCAAUUAUUGUUUUGAUUAAUUUAUUCUCAUCAUUAUGAUUUUGAUAAAAUAGAAUAUGUUCCAAUUGUUAUGAAAUUGGUUGUGCUCGAUUUUUGCAUUUGAUAUGAUAUUUAGAUAUAUAUAAAAAGACUACAGUUAAUGAGUAAUGCAAUCAUCUUAUGUUUUAUCAGCCACAUCACUUUUGAAAGCAUCUGUUUCUUUGCUUUGUAUUGCUUUUGUUAGUGGAGGACACAACUUUAACUCGCCAAAAGGAAAUUUUUGUUUCUGUGGUCAUUGGGAGGUCAGAUAAUAUGAUUAUAUGAUUGGAUUGCCCAUGUACCGUGUGAGAGUUCUACUAAAAAUGCUUUUGAUUCUGCUCAGAUGUGGAUCCGUUUAAUUUUGAUAGCAGCUCAUUCAAACUGUUAGAUGUGGGAUCCAUAUAAUAUUUUUCUUAGCUAUUCAAUUGAGAAAACCCUUGAAAUCCAUGGCUGGGGAAGUCUAUAAUGCAUUUGACUUUUAAUUAUACAGCCUGCAACAUGCAAUGCAUCUAAAGCCUUUGCAGAAGCUGGGUUUUAAUUUUAGGAACAAAGGUCAAAAGAAUAGGAUUCACUUGUUUUAGUAACUUAAUUUUUGCAAGAAAAAUCCUGUUUUUCUAAAAAAUAGUUACCUUAGCAAAUUUGCAGGUUUUAUUUUUGCUUCCAAGAGCCCAAGUGUCAGAUUAAUUUUCUCUUUAAUGAGUUUAUUCACCUCCUUUUGCUUUGUUGGGUCAUUCAGACCUCUUCUGUUCAAGCUAGACACACUGAUCUCAAGACACUGAUUUGGGUUUUCCCCUCAAGAUUUGCUAAUAGCUCCAACCAGCAGCGGCCUACACCCCCCCCCCCCCUCGCGGCGGGACAACAGUGUGGACGCAUAUUGUUGCACUUCUGGCUGGCUUUUCCAUUGGGUGCUUGAAGCUUUUCUUUGGUUAGCUUGAAGGGUUUUGGAGUCUUCUCGCAUAACAGUGAGGUCAUGGAUUCAAGGCAUGGAAACAGCCUCUUACAAAAAUGUAAGUUAUGACACGUUUAAAUGUAGAUCGGAACCUUUUGAAGAUAGGUCGGUUAGGGAAUUGAGAUUGAAGCUCAAUGAUGAGCUUUUGAGGAUACAAGGUCUAAGGAUGAUUGAGAGGAACAAGGCAAUGAUAAAAAUUGGAUCAGACCACAUCUUAAUUGAUUUUUUAUUUAUUUAUUUAUUUUACUUACCGAUAGUGAAAAGGAAGAAUGCGUGAAGUUACUUUUGUUAUGUGGAUAUUGAUUUUAUUUUAACCAUUGAACUUCUUAAUACAAUAGGAUUUUUUUUUUUUUUAAUUUUAGUUUGCCCUUAAAACAUGUGAUAUUGAUAAAAUCAAAUUGUUGGGAUUUACUUUGUCUAA